UGUUAAAAGUUUAAUCUAUUUGUAUUGUUAAAAAUUGACAUUAACGAAAUAACUAAACAAUAACACAUGAUGUGCCACUUGUACCUCGUAUUGAUGGGCAUGAACCGGUUUUUAAUAGUAAAAAUGAAUAAAAUUUUUAAUA
This 142-nucleotide microRNA precursor is filed under the name Gossypium arboreum. RNAcentral describes it as "MIR7502 microRNA precursor family". It matches the Rfam family "MIR7502 microRNA precursor family". Lineage: Eukaryota; Viridiplantae; Streptophyta; Magnoliopsida; Malvales; Malvaceae. The record is from Rfam by way of RNAcentral.